AUUAACAAAUAACUACUGUUCAGGUGUGCGUCUAGAUUUGAAAACUUUCAAAUGGAUGAGGCAACUUUAAUUUUAGUUUGUCCUCCUGCUUGUAAGGCAUAAAGGAAACCCAGGGCAUGAAUGUAACUGGUGCAGUUCAUUCUUAAUGUGAUAAAAUUGUUCCAAUCCUUAAUGUGUAUUUAAUAUUAUGUAUGGGAUAGUCAGUGUCUUAAAAAUGAAUCAAUCAAUCAGACACAGCAAAACAAAAAAAAAAAAAAAUAAGAGCUCCUCUUUUGCCCAGAUAAUUUCAUUUUCUCAAAUCUCGAGUAGUAUGUGGUAUUGGAUAGGAACACUAGUCAUUUGCUUGCUAUAGUUGGAAGGGGAAAAAAAAAAUCAAAGCUAUCUGACACCGAAGCAGCACUGGCUUACUCUUUCUUUGAGAAAAAAAAUGCAUUUGCAGUAUUGAAGUGUAACAUUGCAGGAUCCUUUGAGAGAAAUAUGGCAGCAGAGAGUUGCCAGAAAGUCUGAUUUGCCUUUCUGAAAUGUCAGUCUGGCUUAGAUGUUGAUAUUCUGAGGAUAUUUAGUUCAAGAGAGGAUGAUUUUAUUACAAGACAUUCAGGUAAAUUAAAUAUUUUAUUCUAAGAACUGUCAGCUGAGUAGGUUGCCAAUGGCAUGAUCAAUUCUUGAUGGUCUCAUAGAAAACAUUUUAAAAGUAUUGUUAACAUAAUGUUGUAUUUGUAAACAGAUGCAUUCAUGAUAUCACUGUCAGGAUUUGAUUUUUAAAGCCACUGCAUUUAAUAUUAGACUAGCAUCUCAUACUCAUCUGCUCAUGAAUUCAAAUGACAUCAUGUAGAAAUCAGUUUGUUAACUUACAGUCCUCACACUGAAAAUUUGGUAUUUGUACAGGGAUAUAGAGAUGCUUUGAUUAUUAAUAAUCAUUAAUAAUCAUGAGAGAUUUAUAACAAAGGUUCAUAAUAGGGUCUGAGAGAUCAGAGAUUAACUGUCUCCUUUUAUUUUCGACUUAAAGAACUUUUCCUGUUACAAAUGUGUCCCCAGCUUUCAUUUCAUUUAAAUAAUUUAAGACUAAUACAUGUUUGUGCAGAGUAUAUAUUACAUAUUGCAAUUCUGUCGUUUUUCAAAGUAACCAGAAUUUAAAGGAAGGAAAUUUUAUGACAAAGAUUAACGUUGUUUUAUUGAUUUCAAGUGAAAUAUGUGCUUUGAUUUAGCUAACUUGAAAAAAUUAUAAAUGUCAUCGCUUCAACAUGCCUUUUUUUUUUUUUGUGACUGGGUUCAUGGAAAAUGGAAAGCCAUCUGAAAAUGGCUACACUUGCUCCCUCGAAAUUUUAGUUUGGGGCAGAGUUAUGCAAAUAGUUUGCUCUCACAGUCAGUGUAAGAACUUCAUGUCUUUCUAUGUGCUGAACAUUUUUCACCUGAAUCACCUGUGUCAUAAUUUCUCUUCCCGUAGUUGCUAAUGCUUGUACUGUUAAUACAAGAGCACGUUUCAGAAAGCAUAUAGUCAUUUGGUUAGCAUAACUAUUUCACCCCCAUCCUCACUGGGACAGCAAAGCAUGGCAAACUUGACCGAAGUCUCUAAGUUGCUUCUCUAAGAAUAAGACUAGAUAGAUUUACUUAACAUAAAUGUAAUUUUUAUUAUUCAAAGCAAAUUAUGGCUGCACUCUAAUUAAAACCAGAGGGCAUAGAUCAUAACUGUUAGUUUAUGUGAACUUAUUUCUACCAAUAUUGUAUUUGACAUUGUGUGUGUGUGUGUGUGUGUGUGUGUGUGUGUGUGUGUGUGUGUAUACCAUAGAAACUACUGUUAGUGUUGGAUGACUCCUUUUUUAAAAGAAAUUUAAAGUUUGAUUUGUGCUGAAAAAAUGAAACUUUGUUUUAACAAACUUUUGCUUCAACUACCUAGUUAAUAAAUGAGGCUUAAAAUUGUUUCUUCACAAGAUUUUAGCAUAUUCUCUAAGCAGUGUAGGGUCUUUAUUACAGCCAGGAAUCCACUGAGAGAGAGAACCAACAUUUCCUAGAGAAAGGGCAGCUGUUAUACAUCGUCACAUCAGAGAAUCAGGGUUGUGAAUCCUGGGUCUUCAGUGUGUGCUGCUGGCUGCAUUUUAACUUUUUAAACCUCAGUCGCUUGGUCUGUUUAAUGGGGAUCAUUACAGUAGUAGAAAAUAAAUGUGAUGUGAAAACUAAACAGGAUGAGGUGUGUUGUGCACCUGGUGGAUCAUGCCUGUAGUUUUGAAUUUGUGCUCGAGGCUCACAAAGCAAAUAGAUGCCACACUAAGCCACAUGACAGUUAAUGUUUUUCGCUCCCAUAGUAUAGAACCUUGUCCUCUCUUUAAUUUCAGAGACCCCAGUCCUGUGAGAUUCUUUGAAGGACUGUGUGAAUUCCAUUUUAUGUGGCUGGGUGCUCAUACCAAUUUAAGGUAAUGUGUUUAUACUGCUAAGUGUAUGCAACUAUAUUCAGCCAAAUUGACUUUUUGUAAAGUUGUUUAGUAACUUUCAAAAGAGAUUAUUAGAAUUCUAAAUUGUAUUUCAACAUAAACUUCUGGUAAGAAAUAUUUACUAACAUUUAAAUGCAUAGUGAAACAUCGCAAAUUUAAAUAAUUAUAGCUAAGUUUCUUAACACUAAAGAUAAUAGUUUAAUCUUAUUCUUAAUUUUUUAUCAAUAAGUUUAAUUUCUUGUACCAUUGAGAUUUAUUUAGUUUUUAGCCUAUACUAUCUCCUUUUAUUUAACCCUUAAAUUUAGCAUACAUUUUCUUUCUUCAUGCUAUAAUUAUUGAAAAGUACUUUAUUUUACUUUAUAUCUAUAUAAUGACUACUUGAGCCUCACUUAUUGUUGAGUAUUUUAUAAUAACAUAAAAUUCCAUACUAGCAACUUGUAAGAGAUACUAGAUGAUAUUGAAUAUUUGAAUAUUGUUUUGUCAAAUGUUGCAACAAAUCAGUGAGGUUUUCC
RNAcentral lists this long non-coding RNA (2938 nucleotides) under Mus musculus (house mouse). Its description in RNAcentral is "long non-coding RNA chr1:6735249-6738187". Lineage: Eukaryota; Metazoa; Chordata; Mammalia; Rodentia; Muridae. The record is from RNAcentral.